CACNUGCNAGUCGAGGGGCAGCAUUUCAGUUUGCUUGCAAACUGGAGAUGGCGACCGGCGCACGGGUGAGUAACACGUAUCCAACCUGCCGAUAACUCGGGGAUAGCCUUUCGAAAGAAAGAUUAAUACCCGAUGGCAUAAUAAAACCGCAUGGUUUUUUUAUUAAAGAAUUUCGGUUAUCGAUGGGGAUGCGUUCCAUUAGGCAGUUGGUGAGGUAACGGCUCACCAAACCUUCGAUGGAUAGGGGUUCUGAGAGGAAGGUCCCCCACAUUGGAACUGAGACACGGUCCAAACUCCUACGGGAGGCAGCAGUGAGGAAUAUUGGUCAAUGGGCGCAGGCCUGAACCAGCCAAGUAGCGUGAAGGAUGACUGCCCUAUGGGUUGUAAACUUCUUUUAUAUGGGAAUAAAGUUUUCCACGUGUGGAAUUUUGUAUGUACCAUAUGAAUAAGGAUCGGCUAACUCCGUGCCAGCAGCCGCGGUAAUACGGAGGAUCCGAGCGUUAUCCGGAUUUAUUGGGUUUAAAGGGAGCGUAGGUGGACAGUUAAGUCAGUUGUGAAAGUUUGCGGCUCAACCGUAAAAUUGCAGUUGAUACUGGCUGUCUUGAGUACAGUAGAGGUGGGCGGAAUUCGUGGUGUAGCGGUGAAAUGCUUAGAUAUCACGAAGAACUCCGAUUGCGAAGGCAGCUCACUGGACUGCAACUGACACUGAUGCUCGAAAGUGUGGGUAUCAAACAGGAUUAGAUACCCUGGUAGUCCACACAGUAAACGAUGAAUACUCGCUGUUUGCGAUAUACAGUAAGCGGCCAAGCGAAAGCAUUAAGUAUUCCACCUGGGGAGUACGCCGGCAACGGUGAAACUCAAAGGAAUUGACGGGGGCCCGCACAAGCGGAGGAACAUGUGGUUUAAUUCGAUGAUACGCGAGGAACCUUACCCGGGCUUAAAUUGCAUUUGAAUAUAUUGGAAACAGUAUAGCCGUAAGGCAAAUGUGAAGGUGCUGCAUGGUUGUCGUCAGCUCGUGCCGUGAGGUGUCGGCUUAAGUGCCAUAACGAGCGCAACCCUUAUCUUUAGUUACUAACAGGUCAUGCUGAGGACUCUAGAGAGACUGCCGUCGUAAGAUGUGAGGAAGGUGGGGAUGACGUCAAAUCAGCACGGCCCUUACGUCCGGGGCUACACACGUGUUACAAUGGGGGGUACAGAAGGCAGCUACCUGGUGACAGGAUGCUAAUCCCAAAAGCCUCUCUCAGUUCGGAUCGAAGUCUGCAACCCGACUUCGUGAAGCUGGAUUCGCUAGUAAUCGCGCAUCAGCCAUGGCGCGGUGAAUACGUUCCCGGGCCUUGUACACACCGCCCGUCAAGCCAUGAAAGCCGGGGGUACCUGAAGUACGUAACCGCAAGGAGC
RNAcentral lists this ribosomal RNA (1398 nucleotides) under uncultured bacterium. Its description in RNAcentral is "bacterial SSU rRNA". It matches the Rfam family "Bacterial small subunit ribosomal RNA". The record is from RNAcentral.